RNAcentral lists this ribosomal RNA (427 nucleotides) under uncultured bacterium. RNAcentral's name for it is "partial 16S ribosomal RNA". It matches the Rfam family "Bacterial small subunit ribosomal RNA", at positions 355 to 774 of the family's 1533-position model. The record is from RNAcentral.
UGGGGAAUAUUGCACAAUGGGCGCAAGCCUGAUGCAGCCAUGCCGCGUGUAUGAAGAAGGCCUUCGGGUUGUAAAGUACUUUCAGCGGGGAGGAAGGCGAUAAGGUUAAUAACCUUGUCGAUUGACGUUACCCGCAGAAGAAGCACCGGCUAACUCCGUGCCAGCAGCCGCGGUAAUACGGAGGGUGCAAGCGUUAAUCGGAAUUACUGGGCGUAAAGCGCACGCAGGCGGUAUGUCAAGUCGGAUGUGAAAUCCCCGGGCUCAACCUGGGAACUGCAUUCGAAACUGGCAGGCUAGAGUCUGGUAGAGGGGGGUAGAAUUCCAGGUGUAGCGGUGAAAUGCGUAGAGAUCUGGAGGAAUACCGGUGGCGAAGGCGGCCCCCUGGACAAAGACUGACGCUCAGGUGCGAAAGCGUGGGGAGCAAACA